AACGAACGCUGGCGGCAUGCCUAACACAUGCAAGUCGAACGAGACCUUCGGGUCUAGUGGCGCACGGGUGCGUAACGCGUGGGAAUCUGCCCUUGGGUUCGGAAUCACAGUGAGAAAUUACUGCUAAUACCGGAUGAUGUCUUCGGACCAAAGAUUUAUCGCCCAGGGAUGAGCCCGCGUAGGAUUCGCUAGUUGGUGGGGUAAUGGCCUACCAAGGCGACGAUCCUUAGCUGGUCUGUGAGGAUGAUCAGCCACACUGGGAAUGAGACACGGCCCAGACCGGUACGGGGGGCAGCAGUGGAGAAUAUUGGGCGAUGAGCGCAAGCCUGGUCCAGCAAUGCCGCGUGAGUGAUGAAGGCCGUAGGGUUGUGAAGCUCUUUUACCCGGGAUGAUAAUGACAGUACCGGGAGAAUAAGCUCCGGCUAACUCCGUG
This 433-nucleotide ribosomal RNA is filed under the name uncultured bacterium. RNAcentral describes it as "partial 16S ribosomal RNA". It matches the Rfam family "Bacterial small subunit ribosomal RNA", at positions 29 to 507 of the family's 1533-position model. The record is from RNAcentral.